AGACAGCAGUAGCCGCGGGAAUACGUAGGGUGCAAGCGUUAAUCGGAAUUACUGGGCGUAAAGCGUGCGCAGGCGGUUAUAUAAGACAGAUGUGAAAUCCCCGGGCUCAACCUGGGAACUGCAUUUGUGACUGUAUAGCUAGAGUACGGCAGAGGGGGAUGGAAUUCCGCGUGUAGCAGUGAAAUGCGUAGAUAUGCGGAGGAACACCGAUGGCGAAGGCAAUCCCCUGGGCCUGUACUGACGCUCAUGCACGAAAGCGUGGGGAGCAAACAGGAUUAGAGACCCCCGUAGUCCCUGUCUCUUAUAC
RNAcentral lists this ribosomal RNA (307 nucleotides) under uncultured bacterium. RNAcentral's name for it is "partial 16S ribosomal RNA". It matches the Rfam family "Bacterial small subunit ribosomal RNA", at positions 506 to 807 of the family's 1533-position model. The record is from RNAcentral.